Molecule: ribosomal RNA, 252 nt
Filed under: uncultured Blastocatellaceae bacterium
Lineage: Bacteria; Pseudomonadati; Acidobacteriota; Blastocatellia; Blastocatellales; Blastocatellaceae
Description: partial 16S ribosomal RNA
Rfam family: Bacterial small subunit ribosomal RNA
Source: RNAcentral
CGUAGGGACCAAGCGUUGUUCGGAUUUACUGGGCGUAAAGGGCGCGUAGGCGGCAAUUCAAGUCAGUUGUGAAAUCUCCGAGCUUAACUCGGAACGGUCAACUGAUACUGUUUUGCUAGAGUGCAGAAGGGGCAACCGGAAUUCUUGGUGUAGCGGUGAAAUGCGUAGAUAUCAAGAGGAACACCUGAGGUGAAGACGGGUUGCUGGGCUGACACUGACGCUGAAGCGCGAAAGCUAGGGUAGCAAACGGGA